GAUGAACGCUGGCGGCGUGCCUAAUACAUGCAAGUCGAGCGAACAGACGAGGAGCUUGCUCCUCUGACGUUAGCGGCGGACGGGUGAGUAACACGUGGAUAACCUACCUAUAAGACUGGGAUAACUUCGGGAAACCGGAGCUAAUACCGGAUAACAUGUUGAACCGCAUGGUUCAACAGUGAAAGACGGUCUUGCUGUCACUUAUAGAUGGAUCCGCGCCGCAUUAGCUAGUUGGUAAGGUAACGGCUUACCAAGGCAACGAUGCGUAGCCGACCUGAGAGGGUGAUCGGCCACACUGGAACUGAGACGCGGUCCAGGCUCCUACGGGAGGCAGCAGUAGGGAAUCUUACGCAAUGGGCGAAAGCCUGACGGAGCAACGCCGCGUGAGUGAAGAAGGUCUUCGGAUCGUAAAACUCUGUUAUUAGGGAAGAACAAAUGUGUAAGUAACUAUGCACGUCUUGACGGUACCUAAUCAGAAAGCCACGGCUAACUACGUG
RNAcentral lists this ribosomal RNA (497 nucleotides) under uncultured bacterium. Its description in RNAcentral is "partial 16S ribosomal RNA". It matches the Rfam family "Bacterial small subunit ribosomal RNA", at positions 28 to 507 of the family's 1533-position model. The record is from RNAcentral.